This 1171-nucleotide ribosomal RNA is filed under the name Triticum aestivum (bread wheat). RNAcentral describes it as "partial small subunit ribosomal RNA". Lineage: Eukaryota; Viridiplantae; Streptophyta; Magnoliopsida; Poales; Poaceae. The record is from RNAcentral.
CACCUGUACAGAUCGAAGGACCUCCUCUCCUGUCUGAGAUUUGUACCCAAGUUAGCAACUGUACUGAAGAACAUCGAACGUUUUGCAGUGCAUCUUACUGUCUUGAACUCACAAGUGAGCACAACCACCUUUUCCUCCUUGUCAUGCUAAUCUAUUUGCACAAUGUUCUAGUAUAUUGUGAAGAAGGCAAAUUUGUUUAUGGGUGGGUUCAGUCAAGGAGGUGCUUGACCUGGGAGUAUUAUAUUAUCAUCAUGUACUAGAAAUUCAGUAUAGGAUAUGAUGAAUUAUUUAGUGCCCCCAUUCUUAUAAGCAAUUCUUAGUUUUGCUUGACCCCUUUGUUUACCCUAUGUAUGUUGCCAGCUAAUCAAUCCGAACCCUUUAACAUGUACCAUAUGUAUGUUGACUACAAACUGAAACAACAUGCGCCAAUUUGUGGUUCACCGCGUGAAUUGCUAAACUGCGGCCGAUCGUGUUUUGCUCAAUGGUCGUCGAUCUUGCUUUGCUCUCUGGAAGUGCAUGUAGAAGAGUUACAUAUAUUGUUUGCCAAAUUGUUACGCGAAACCUGGGAAUAAUAAUAGCUUACCAUGUAGAGUAACAGAGUCAUUUCAUUGUGUUCUGUUUUAUAGUUGAAAAUGGAGUGGUAUACAGGAAGAAUGGCCUAUGUCCUAUACUCACACGCUGCAUCUGAUUGAUCCUAGCUUAUCUGGUUGUGAAACCAACAAAUAUUUUGUUUGGUUUGUCUGACUGAUGAGUGACCAUUGAUUUCUAGUAGGUGCUGAUUUGUGGGAUUGCUUUGACAUUAGAAGUUGGCUUUAUCCGAAGACUUUGUGUUCAAUUGCUUGGUGCCUUUUGAUUCAUCUGUCAUUGAGAAGUUUGCACUCAGAGUAAGAAAGGUAUGUGACGUAGUCAUCCCUGGUCAUUGAGGAAGCUUAAAUUAUGCCAAACUACUGAUCUUGUGGUGUUAUUUUCUCUGCCUAGUAUUGAAAGUGGUCUUAUUUUAGUAUAUGGGAAAACUAAUGCUCUAAAUUAUGUACGUAGAUGUUACAAUAGAAAUGGUAUUAUCUUUGUAUUCACUCCUGAGCUUUCUAGGCUCCUAGCUAUUGGUUCUUUGCAGCCAUAAUAGAGAUGCUAUUAUUAUUGCUUUAUUUAUAAUUAUUAUCGUUGUAUUAAU